UUCACUGAAAAUUUAACCGCAAUUUGCCAAACCCAAUUUAUACCAUCCCGCACCCAAACCCCAAUUCUCCCUCUCCCCAUCUUCAGCUCGGCUGCAAAUUUGCAUUCCACUUUCACAUCUGCUGUCUCCGCGACUCCGUCUGCAAUUCCCCUCCCAUAUCUGAUCUAUCCCUGAAUUCAAUUUUUUGAUCUUCCCUCUCAACUUCUGUAUUUUCCAUCUUCAUAGAAAAAUCCCUUUCAUUCAACUUUCUCUCUCAUUUUCAUUAUCAUCAUUCUAAAGAAUUGGAUUAUUGCACGAUACCACUGUGGUGUUCGAAUGCAGUUUGUGGCCAGUUGGAGUAUUCACGAAUCAUGAAGUUGGGGAAUGCUAUCUUGGUUUGGAAAAUCCAGUGCGUUUCUUUACAAAUAAUAGAAAACUACUGAGUUUUUGUUAAAUUUUGACGGAACCUGUGCAGAUCUUUGAAAUUUGAAAGUGAGUGAUAGUCGUAGCAUUUAGUUUGUGUCUAUCUGUGUUAUUUCUAAUUUUAAAUUUAUAUUUUUUCUUUGUACUUAUGCUUUUGUGAAAUACCGGUGAAUGUAAUCUAUUGGGAAGCUCAUAAAUGGAAGUAAUUCUGCCUGGUGGAGGUGGCACUUUAUUAUUAAACUUCAAUUUUGUGUAUCACUCUAUAUGUUUAUACAUACGUGCUAGAUCACUGUCUACAUUUUUGUUAUACGUUAGUUUCCAAUAGUAAGCUCUGUGAUGAACUCAUGGUAUGCAAUGUGUUGUUGAGUCCAAUGGUUAUGGUUGUUUAAAAUCAGCACGGAAAUCUGGUCUGCUCCUCACUUCAGCACUUGCUAUUCUUCAUUAUGGCAGGUAUGAAUGACAUUGAAGAGCAACGAAAAGUUCAAAAUCACCUUAAGAGGAAUACGGCAUGAAUAAUCACGAAUAAGAAGCGGAAAUCACGUGAAUAACAUUUCAGUGAUGGUGAAUAAUGAAUGCAGAAAUAGAGUUACUGCAAAUUGAAAUUCUACUUCAUUAAAAAUUUCCUGGUCAGGCAAAUGCAAGCGUGGAGUGACCGUUCAGCGUCAAAGGGGAAAAAAUAGAGGAUGGACUGAAGUUUCAAGCGGCAGUGUGGUAGCAUUUUGAGAAUCAUCGAUGGAGCACCUUCACAGAUUUGUUUACAAACAACCAGUUGAUCAUGUGAAGUUGAUUCCUGAUUAUUUUAGUUAUUGAACCAAUGAAUUUGGGAACGAUAAAUCGUAAACUAGAGGACAAUAAAUACUUUUAUGAAGAGGAAUUUGCUAGUGAUAUUAGGCUGACUUUUUCAAGUGCGAUAUGUUAUAAUCCUUUUGGGAACUAUGCGAAAGAAUUGAAUAUGAUCUUCUCAGUGGGAGAUAGAAAUUAUUCAAUACAAAAUUGAAGUACACGUGAAGAAAUCUCAAACAGUUAUGCGAUGUAGAUAGAAUAGGAAAGAAUGACCAAGAUACAAAGGCCAUUAUAGAAAAGAAAGGCCAAAAUGCAAAUCAGUCUCCCCUAACAAAUCUCGAGGGAACAUCAGUCUUUGGAACAGCGGCCAAUGUCGUUGGAGUAAAAGAAGAUUUGAGUAAAAGAGCUUUUGAAAAUAUCGAGCAAAAAGAUGACAGAAACUAUAAGGUUCAUGUUCGAAACGUUUUUUAUGGCCAGACUGAAAGAAGAAAAAGAUGGUUCUUAUAUUCAUGUGAUUGACAAUGAAAUUUUAUUGAAGCUGGAACGAAAGAGAGAUAAAGGUUCUUUGGAUGCAAUGAAAGAAAAGGUGAGUAAAUUUAAUUGUGCAGAUAAUUUGGUUGUGUGAUUCUUUCUUCCUUUAUCAAUUCUGUGUAGUUUCUCUAUCUCUCUCCAUUUUUAUUUUUUAUUUUUGGGAUUGCCACAAUGUUGUCCUGCCUUCGUUGCUCUAUCCAUGUUAUGUUGAUCCUUGGUAGUUGUCACUAGACCUGUCUUUUCAUAAAUCCUUGAUUCUGUAGGUUCUUCUCAACAGAGGAAGCCUGCAAGAACUACACAAAGUCACGUUAGUGAAAACUGUUCAUAAGAUCAAGACUUGACAGAAUAAGUUUGUGCUUUCUGGUUCUUUCCAUGACCUGAUUGGCCAUGUAUCUUGUAUGCAGAUAAUGGCAUUCAAUGUGCAUUUGCUGCUUCCAAUAGAAAACAACCAUUUGAUUUCCCUGCAGUCGAAUGUGCUGCAAGUGGUAGUCUGUUGUGCCAAUGAAGCCUUAGAUGUUCUGCUAAGCCAUCUUUCAGUGAUGAGUUAAAUUCUUGUAUCAGCUGUUAGUAGGUUCCAUUUGUGUUCCUGUCAACCAAUUUGGAGUGCUUUUCAUUUUUAUUCAGUUUUUUCUUCAGAAAGAUCAUGAUCGUAAUCACUAUGGUGACUCUAUAUCUGGAAGUUUCAGCAUGUUCUUGUUUCACCAAAUAGUUUUAUUUAAUAUAACAUGCAACUUUUGGCUGAUUGUCGCUACUUUUUCAUUAGGAUCGUCAGCUUAAAUAUCCCGUGACAUCUCAUACAAGAUGAUUGAAGCUGGAUUCUAAUGGUGAGAGCAAAUGCUGUUAAUUAUAUGUUUGUAAUCGUGUAUCUAGUUUUUUUUAUUGUUUGAGCUUUGACACGCCACUGCCAAUGAUGUUUAGGACAUGAAAAUGUUUCCAAUUAAGACCUACUGAAGUAGGUGUUUGGAUGAGCUUGAUUGAAGCUGGAUUCUAAUGGUGAGAGCAAAUGCUGUUAAUUAUAUGUUUGUAAUCGUGUAUCUAGUUCAUUUUUUUAUUGUUUGAGCUUUGACACGUCACUGCCAAUGAUGUUUAGGACAUGAAAAUGUUUCCAAUUAAGACCUACUGAAGUAGGUGUUUGGAUGAGCUUGAGCUCAUGGAGUUCUUCUUGUUCCCUCAUUUUAUCUCCCUAUGCUGAGAGAUAUCUUGUUUCUAACCAGGCUUGAUGGAAAUCUUUCAUUUUUCUGAAUCUGAUUAUGAGUCUUGUCUUACUCCCAUGGGCACACAGAUACAUGCAUGCAAUGUUGUAGAUGUAAGAAAAUGAUGUAAGUUUGCCCCCACCAAAUUCCAAGAUCUGAGCUAUUGAACCUUGGAAAUAUGAAGACUUGAUUUAUCUUAUGUAUUUGUUUUAUAAUGGUCUUCACUAGUUCAUAUGUUACAACUAUAUUCAGAGCUACACAUGACUCUCUUGAAUCAUUUAAUGAAUUUUUAUGGCUUGCAGAAAUUUCGGAAUAGAUACUAGGUUGGUUGAGCUCUCUUCGAUUUGUGGACUUACUAAUAUCUCUGUUCUGUUGAUUUUUGUUCAGGACGAGAAGAUUAAUCCUGUCAAUGGGCACAAAGAAAAGGGAAGACUGGAAAGGCAGGAGCAUGAAGGUGAUCUAAGCAUAUCCUUGAUUUAACAUUAUGAUGUAUUGUCAUAUUUUUGUGUUAAAAAAAUUUUCCUUCCUAUGAACCUUUGAAACUUUACGUACGAUUUUUGCCUUACUGGGCUUUUAUUAUCAUGUGAGUAGAAACGCCAUUCGGUACUAGAGGCUUUAAAACACGAUAAGUCCAGUUAAAUAGAUUAUAUAUUCGUUCAUAUAGUUAACUUUAAUUGGACUUACCCUUUAAUGCCAACUAAACUAAAAUAAAUUAAACUAGUGUUUUAGCACCAAUAGUGCUCGAUAGCAUUAUUCUUAACUUGUGUUUAACUUUUUUUAUUUUUUGAUGAUCAGUAGAUGUUGCUCAAGAUGCAGUUGGUUCACAUCAAAAUACCAAGGAAUCUUCAGCUUCAAAUUAAUGCAGAAUAUCUCAAAGAAGAAAGAAUCAUACCAUACAGCUGACUUGUCUGCGACAUUGAAUUUAUCACCUUUCCUUUUAUUUCAUCCAAAGAAAUCUUUAUUGCUCUUUCUGUCCAGCUUGGGAAAAGUUUCAUUGUCGAUCAUGUCAAUAUAAGAAUCGAGUUUUUCUUCUCUCAAUCUGGCCAUACAAAACUUUUCAAACACGGACCUUAAAGCUUCAACUAUCUUUCUGCUUGAUAUUUUCAAAAGCUUUUUUCGUCAAAUUUUGCUUUUGCUCUUAAAAGACUGUGGCCUAUUGUGGCCGUAAAGCUUUUAUUAAGGCAAUAUUGUUUUGCAUUUUGGCCUUUCUUUUUUAUAAUGGGUUUGUAUCUUGGCCAUUCUUUCCACUUCCUCUACAUUGCAUAACCGUUCGAGAUUUCUACCGUGCACUUCAAUUUUGUCUGCUGUAAUUUCCAUCUCCUGAAAUCAUCAUUCAAUUCCUUUGCAUAGUUCCUAGGAGGAUUGUUGUGUAUCACAUUGACAAAAUGAACCUAACAUCAUUAGCCAAUUCCUCUGCAUCAAAGUAUGUAUUGUCCUCUAGUUUAUGCUUUAUCGUUCCUAAAUUCAUUGGUUCAAUAGUUAUUGGAACAGCAGUAGAUCAAUUGGCUGAUUUAGAGAAGAUCUGUGAAGGUUCCCAUCAAUGAUCUCAAAAUGCUACUACAUUGCUGCUUGAAACUUCAAUCCAUCCUAUGCUUCUUUUAUCCCCUUUGACACUCAAGGAUCACUCAACCUUACGCUUCUUGGAGUUACUUGACUAGGAAAAUUUAACUAAAUUAGAUAUUUUAUUUGCAUUAACUCCAUCUGUGCAUUCAUUUUUUAUUAUCAAUGUGAGGUUUUUCACGUGAUUUCUCUUGUGAUUUAUGCAAUAUUCCUUUUGAGGUGAUUUUGUACUUUAUGUUACCAACAGUUGCCACAAAUUUAAAUUCGUGAUUUAAGGAGAAUUGCAAGUUCUACAAUUAACAAUUUUGAUGUAUGUGCAUCCAUUUUGUACUACUGGAUUAAUUCCUCCAUUAAAUGAUCCAAU
RNAcentral lists this long non-coding RNA (4833 nucleotides) under Olea europaea subsp. europaea. Lineage: Eukaryota; Viridiplantae; Streptophyta; Magnoliopsida; Lamiales; Oleaceae. The record is from RNAcentral.